CUUGACCGAACCGAGCAGCAGGGGUCGAUCGGCAACCCGGUUCUGCCCGUACGUGGCCAGCAGCGCCUGCGCCUC
This 75-nucleotide antisense RNA is filed under the name Actinoplanes sp. N902-109. RNAcentral's name for it is "ASpks TB sRNA". It matches the Rfam family "ASpks TB sRNA". Lineage: Bacteria; Bacillati; Actinomycetota; Actinomycetes; Micromonosporales; Micromonosporaceae. The record is from Rfam by way of RNAcentral.